This is a long non-coding RNA of Nanorana parkeri, 341 nucleotides long. RefSeq lists it as uncharacterized. The record is from RefSeq and is a predicted model, not a curated record. The transcript is spliced from 3 exons. Lineage: Eukaryota; Metazoa; Chordata; Amphibia; Anura; Dicroglossidae.
UGUGCAUAUAGCACAAAAAGGUCAAGGACAGGUACAUUUUGGGAAGUUUAUUUUAGCAAAUAUAGCAAAGUAUAGGUACAUACAAAAGCAUAUUUUUCCUAUCUGCAAUAUCUUACCUAAGUUUUUGCAGCCCCAGGUAUCAAAUUAAUAGUCAGCCUCCUGGAAUAGACAUCCCUAUAUCCUCGUUCUCACUUCCAUUAUAGAACACUUACAUGUUGAAUGUGACCUAUAAGCCCACUGGAUCCCAAAAGUCCAAAAACCAUUCCACAUAUGCUGUCAUCUCUUACUGAAAAAGUUUGUUUACCCUGUGCAUCUGACCCAAUUAUUUGUCCAUUUCCAUC